RNAcentral lists this long non-coding RNA (206 nucleotides) under Panax ginseng (ginseng). RNAcentral's name for it is "long non-coding RNA (PGIN_LNC013956)". The record is from RNAcentral. Lineage: Eukaryota; Viridiplantae; Streptophyta; Magnoliopsida; Apiales; Araliaceae.
UUACUAACAAUAAACAAUUAUAUAUUCCUGUAAACAAUUAAAUUUAUUGUAUUGGUUACUGUCAGUCUCCAUUGUCUAACAACUGAAUAAACAUUGUAAAGUAACCAAAUUAAUAUUAGACAGUAACCAAAUUACAUAAUCUUAGUAACCAGAAUAUAAACCACAUUUUUACAUGCAAUUUUGAAGGCCUAAAUGAUGGAAUUUGG